AUUUGCCUUAAUGUAUACAUCUGCAGCAUUCGCUUGACUGGUACCUGCAGAGGCCAGAAGAUGAAAUCAGACACCCUAGAACUGGAGUUACAGAAGUGAUUAUUCAGGAAAUGACAUCCAUCCUUCAAUGGCAAGAAUGUGGGGAAGAAGAUUAGAAACUACAAUGGAAGAUCUGUUCGACGGAGGAGCUACACAGCUGUACUGCAAUAGAAGCCUGGACAGACUUAGCUGAGGAAAGAAGAUUCACUCUUGCCAGCCUGAGUACAUUGAAUUUCAGAACAAAUUCUGAUAUGGAACACAAUGUUGGUUACUUUGGUUACUGCUGCGACCCAAGCCUCACAAGAAGCAAUGUAAGGAUGUAUGUGCUCUGCCUCCCAAUUCAAGGGCACAAUCAUUCAUGAAGGACAAAGCAAGGUACCAGGAGAUACUCACAUGGUGGAAGAAGGAACAUGAGGAUACUUAUAUCUCAGAAGAUCAGGAAGCAGGCAGAGGACCACAAGUGCACACUCUAGCUUCGAGCCUCAAGAUCUACUCCAAAGUAACCCACUUCUACCAGGCUCGUUGUCAUCUCAUAAUAUAAAACUUAAUCCAAGUUCAAACGUCCUCACAGGCUUACAGUUCCAACCCUCUUCAAAGUUCAAAGUCACUCCUGGGAUCAAGACCAUUUCUGAACAUCUGUGAGCCCCCGGACCACGAAAAACAAGUUACCCGUGCAACAUACAAUGGCACACAGGAUAAACAACUCUAUUCCAAAAGGAAGACAUGAGGACAUAGUCAAGAAGAAAGCUCGUACCAAAGCAAGAAACACAGUAGAGGAAAUGCCAAACCACGCAGCUCCACAUCCUGCAUCCGGGGCUUGUGAUGGACCAAACCUCACAGGUCCAUGUCCUGCAUCCGGGGCUUGUGAUGGAAUCAGCUCUGCUCCAGUUGGCGAGUGUAUACCUGCCCCUCCAGUUCCACCGAGUGUGUGGUCCCUCUCUUCGGCCAAUCCCACUUGGUGCCUGCAGCUUUCCUUGGUGCGUGCCCAACAUUUCUAGCUCUUCUGGUAUCCUGGGGUCUCCGUUGCUGCUUGGGGAUCCUUUGACGCUUCAUGCAAUGGCCUCUUGUUGCCUCUGCACAGAAUCUAACUCUGCAAAACAUUGGCCUGAACAGCUCUUCUGGCAUUUUGGAGCAAGCCUCCAUGGCACUGUGGCUUUGUUUUGUUUUUUGCAUGCCUGCAAGUCUAGCGUCUUGUGGGCAAUGCCAGGUUCUGCUGCCAGCUUCAGAUGGAGGCAGCAAUACCCUCUUCACAGCAGCUGGGAUGGCCUCUGUGUAUCACUGCCUCCGAGCAAGAGAAAACAAUUGUCUUAAUGGCCCUGCCUAAGCAGGAUGCCCUGUGGCUCUCCGUGUUCACACACUCACUUUCCAAAUAAAAGUUGUCCAAUGAGGUUGCAUUGA
Peromyscus maniculatus bairdii (prairie deer mouse) is the source of this 1437-nucleotide non-coding RNA. The record is from RefSeq and is a predicted model, not a curated record. Lineage: Eukaryota; Metazoa; Chordata; Mammalia; Rodentia; Cricetidae.